This 274-nucleotide unclassified non-coding RNA is filed under the name Hevea brasiliensis (rubber tree). The record is from RNAcentral. Lineage: Eukaryota; Viridiplantae; Streptophyta; Magnoliopsida; Malpighiales; Euphorbiaceae.
GGAAUUCGGAUAAUGUUGCAUCAAAGCAACCAUUAGUAUUGAUCUGUUCUGAAAAGGCUGUGUAUGUCUAUUCCUUAUUGCAUAUUAUUCAGGGUAUUAAGAAAGUAUACUACAAAAAGAAGUUCCAUUCCACGCUAUGUUGCUGGGCAUCAACAUUUGACAUGCCUGAGGCGGGCCUUAUGCUUCUCUUCUCGAAUGGAAAGAUUGAGAUUAGGUCUCUUCCAGAGUUGUCCCUUUUAAAGGAAACUUCAGUUAGAGGCCUCGUACUUUCGCC